RNAcentral lists this ribosomal RNA (253 nucleotides) under uncultured bacterium. RNAcentral's name for it is "partial 16S ribosomal RNA". It matches the Rfam family "Bacterial small subunit ribosomal RNA", at positions 524 to 776 of the family's 1533-position model. The record is from RNAcentral.
UACGGAGGGGACUAGCGUUGUUCGGAAUUACUGGGCGUAAAGCGCACGUAGGCGGAUUUGUAAGUCAGGGGUGAAAUCCCUGGGCUCAACCCCGGAACGGCAUCCGAUACGGGGCGGCUCGAGACCGAGAGAGGUGAGUGGAAUACCCAGUGUAGAGGUGAAAUUCGUAGAUAUUGGGUGGAACACCGGUGGCGAAAGCGGCUCACUGGCUCGGUUCUGACGCUGAGGCGCGAAAGCGUGGGGAGCAAACAGG